GAAGCGGCAACAGCUCAAAUUUGAAAUCUGGCGCAAGCCCGAGUUGUAAUUUGUAGAGGAUGCUUCAGGGCAGCGGCCGGUCUAAGUUCCUUGGAACAGGACGUCAUAGAGGGUGAGAAUCCCGUAUGCGACCGGUUGGCACCCGUCACGUAGCUCCUUCGACGAGUCGAGUUGUUUGGGAAUGCAGCUCUAAAUGGGAGGUAAAUGCCUUCUAAAGCUAAAUACCGGCCAGAGACCGAUAGCGCACAAGUAGAGUGAUCGAAAGAUGAAAAGCACUUUGGAAAGAGAGUUAAAAAGCACGUGAAAUUGUUGAAAGGGAAGCGCAUGCAACCAGACUUGUCGGUGGUGUUCCGCCGGUCUUUUGACCGGUCUACUCGCCGCCGGCAGGCCAGCAUCGCUUGGGAGCGCCGGAUAAAGGUGGGAGGAAUGUGGCCCCCUCGGGGGUGUUAUAGCCUCCUACGUAAUACGGCGCCUCCCGAGUGAGGUCCGCGCUUCGGCUAGGAUGCUGGCGUAAUGGUUGUCUGCGGCCCGUCUUGAAACACGGACCAAGGAGUCUAACAUCUAUGCGAGUGUUCGGGUGUUAAACCCCUACGCGUAAUGAAAGUGAACGGAGGUGGGAACUUUUUGUGCACCAUCGACCGAUCCUGAUGUCUUCGGAUGGAUUUGAGUAAGAGCAUAGCUGUUGGGACCCGAAAGAUGGUGAACUAUGCCUGAAUAGGGUGAAGCCAGAGGAAACUCUGGUGGA
RNAcentral lists this ribosomal RNA (745 nucleotides) under Teratosphaeriaceae sp. CPC 12349. RNAcentral describes it as "eukaryotic LSU rRNA". It matches the Rfam family "Eukaryotic large subunit ribosomal RNA", at positions 95 to 871 of the family's 3401-position model. Lineage: Eukaryota; Fungi; Ascomycota; Dothideomycetes; Mycosphaerellales; Teratosphaeriaceae. The record is from RNAcentral.